RNAcentral lists this ribosomal RNA (492 nucleotides) under uncultured bacterium. RNAcentral describes it as "partial 16S ribosomal RNA". It matches the Rfam family "Bacterial small subunit ribosomal RNA", at positions 29 to 507 of the family's 1533-position model. The record is from RNAcentral.
AGUGAACGCUGGCGGUAGGCCUAACACAUGCAAGUCGAACGGCAGCACAGUAAGAGCUUGCUCUUACGGGUGGCGAGUGGCGGACGGGUGAGGCAUACAUCGGAAUCUACUUUUUCGUGGGGGACAACGUAGGGAAACUUACGCUAAUACCGCAUACGACCUACGGGUGAAAGCAGGGGAUCUUCGGACCUUGCGCGACUGAAUGAGCCGAUGUCGGAUUAGCUAGUUGGCGGGGUAAAGGCCCACCAAGGCGACGAUCCGUAGCUGGUCUGAGAGGAUGAUUAGCCACACUGGAACUGAGACACGGUCCAGACUCCUACGGGAGGCAGCAGUGGGGAAUAUUGGGCAAUGGGCGCAAGCCUGAUCCAGCCAUGCCGCGUGAGUGAAGAAGGCCUUCGGGUUGUAAAGCCCUUUUGUUGGGAAAGAAAAGCAGCAGGUUAAUACCCCGCUGUUCUGACGGUACCCAAAGAAUAAGCACCGGCUAACUUCGUG